ACGGGUGAGUAACACGUGAGUAACCUGCCCUUGACUCUGGGAUAAGCCUGGGAAACUGGGUCUAAUACCGGAUAUGACCUUCCAUCGCAUGGUGGUUGGUGGAAAGCUUUUGUGGUUUUGGAUGGACUCGCGGCCUAUCAGCUUGUUGGUGAGGUAAUGGCUUACCAAGGCGACGACGGGUAGCCGGCCUGAGAGGGUGACCGGCCACACUGGGACUGAGACACGGCCCAGACUCCUACGGGAGGCAGCAGUGGGGAAUAUUGCACAAUGGGCGCAAGCCUGAUGCAGCGACSCCGCGUGAGGGAUGACGGCCUUCGGGUUGUAAACCUCUUUCAGUAGGGAAGAAGCGAAAGUGACGGUACCUGCARAAGAAGCGCCGGCUAACUACGUGCCAGCAGCCGCGGUAAUACGUAGGGCGCAAGCGUUAUCCGGAAUUAUUGGGCGUAAAGARCUCGUASGCGGWUUGUCKCGUCUGCCGUGAAAGUCCGGGGCUCAACUCCKGAUCWGCGGUGGGUACRGGCAKACUAKWSUGAUGUARGGRAGACUGGAAUUCCUGGUGUAVCGGURAAAUGCGCASAUAUCASGAGGAMCACCSAUGGNCSAMGKCMGGUCUCUGGRCWUA
RNAcentral lists this ribosomal RNA (622 nucleotides) under Arthrobacter sp. UAPS0105. RNAcentral's name for it is "partial 16S ribosomal RNA". It matches the Rfam family "Bacterial small subunit ribosomal RNA", at positions 102 to 737 of the family's 1533-position model. Lineage: Bacteria; Bacillati; Actinomycetota; Actinomycetes; Micrococcales; Micrococcaceae. The record is from RNAcentral.